UCGAGAAUCUUCGGCAAUGGGCGCAAGCCUGACCGAGCGACGCCGCGUGGAGGACGAAGGCCUUCGGGUUGUAAACUCCUGUCGAGGGGGAGGAAGGCGGCGCGAAGAGCGUCGCUUGACCGAUCCCUGGAGGAAGCACGGGCUAAGUUCGUGCCAGCAGCCGCGGUAAGACGAACCGUGCGAACGUUAUUCGGAAUCACUGGGCUUAAAGCGCGUGUAGGCGGCCCGGAGCAUCGUCGGCUGAAAUCCCCCGGCUCAACCGGGGAACGGGCCACGAGAUGUCCGGGCUGGAGGGGGGUAGGGGGAGCCGGAACUCACGGUGGAGCGGUGAAAUGCGUUGAGAUCGUGAGGAACGCCCGUGGCGAAAGCGGGCUCCUGGACCCCGCCUGACGCUGAGACGCGAAAGCCAGGGGAGCGAACGG
Molecule: ribosomal RNA, 422 nt
Filed under: uncultured bacterium
Lineage: Bacteria
Description: bacterial SSU rRNA
Rfam family: Bacterial small subunit ribosomal RNA
Source: RNAcentral